AGAGUUUGAUCCUGGCUCAGAGUGAACGCUGGCGGCGUGCCUAAUACAUGCAAGUCGAACGAUGAAGCUUCUAGCUUGCUAGAAUGCUGAUUAGUGGCGCACGGGUGAGUAACGCAUAGGUCAUGUGCCUCUUAGUUUGGGAUAGCCAUUGGAAACGAUGAUUAAUACCAGAUACUCCCUACGGGGGAAAGAUUUAUCGCUAAGAGAUCAGCCUAUGUCCUAUCAGCUUGUUGGUAAGGUAAUGGCUUACCAAGGCUAUGACGGGUAUCCGGCCUGAGAGGGUGAACGGACACACUGGAACUGAGACACGGUCCAGACUCCUACGGGAGGCAGCAGUAGGGAAUAUUGCUCAAUGGGGGAAACCCUGAAGCAGCAACGCCGCGUGGAGGAUGAAGGUUUUAGGAUUGUAAACUCCUUUUGUUAGAGAAGAUAAUGACGGUAUCUAACGAAUAAGCACCGGCUAACUCCGUGCCAGCAGCCGCGGUAAUACGGAGGGUGCAAGCGUUACUCGGAAUCACUGGGCGUAAAGAGCGCGUAGGCGGGAUAGUCAGUCAGGUGUGAAAUCCUAUGGCUUAACCAUAGAACUGCAUUUGAAACUACUAUUCUAGAGUGUGGGAGAGGUAGGUGGAAUUCUUGGUGUAGGGGUAAAAUCCGUAGAGAUCAAGAGGAAUACUCAUUGCGAAGGCGACCUGCUGGAACAUUACUGACGCUGAUUGCGCGAAAGCGUGGGGAGCAAACAGGAUUAGAUACCCUGGUAGUCCACGCCCUAAACGAUGGAUGCUAGUUGUUGGAGGGCUUAGUCUCUCCAGUAAUGCAGCUAACGCAUUAAGCAUCCCGCCUGGGGAGUACGGUCGCAAGAUUAAAACUCAAAGGAAUAGACGGGGACCCGCACAAGCGGUGGAGCAUGUGGUUUAAUUCGAAGAUACACGAAGAACCUUACCUAGGCUUGACAUUGAGAGAAUCCGCUAGAAAUAGUGGAGUGUCUAGCUUGCUAGACCUUGAAAACAGGUGCUGCACGGCUGUCGUCAGCUCGUGUCGUGAGAUGUUGGGUUAAGUCCCGCAACGAGCGCAACCCCCUUUCUUAGUUGCUAACAGGUUAUGCUGAGAACUCUAAGGAUACUGCCUCCGUAAGGAGGAGGAAGGUGGGGACGACGUCAAGUCAUCAUGGCCCUUACGCCUAGGGCUACACACGUGCUACAAUGGGGUGCACAAAGAGAAGCAAUACUGCGAAGUGGAGCCAAUCUUCAAAACACCUCUCAGUUCGGAUUGUAGGCUGCAACUCGCCUGCAUGAAGCUGGAAUCGCUAGUAAUCGCAAAUCAGCCAUGUUGCGGUGAAUACGUUCCCGGGUCUUGUACUCACCGCCCGUCACACCAUGGGAGUUGUGUUUGCCUUAAGUCAGGAUGCUAAACCAGCUACUGCCCACGGCACACACAGCGACUGGGGUGAAGUCGUAACAAGGUAACCGUAGGUGAACCUGCGGUUG
This 1484-nucleotide ribosomal RNA is filed under the name Helicobacter pylori NQ392. Its description in RNAcentral is "bacterial SSU rRNA". It matches the Rfam family "Bacterial small subunit ribosomal RNA". Lineage: Bacteria; Pseudomonadati; Campylobacterota; Epsilonproteobacteria; Campylobacterales; Helicobacteraceae. The record is from RNAcentral.